This 429-nucleotide ribosomal RNA is filed under the name Acidobacteriota bacterium. RNAcentral's name for it is "Acidobacteria bacterium partial 16S ribosomal RNA". It matches the Rfam family "Bacterial small subunit ribosomal RNA", at positions 355 to 776 of the family's 1533-position model. Lineage: Bacteria; Pseudomonadati; Acidobacteriota. The record is from RNAcentral.
UGGGGAAUUUUGGACAAUGGGGGAAACCCUGAUCCAGCCAUCCCGCGUGUGCGAUGAAGGCCUUCGGGUUGUAAAGCACUUUUGGCAGGAAAGAAACGUCAUGGGUUAAUACCCCGUGAAACUGACGGUACCUGCAGAAUAAGCACCGGCUAACUAAGUGCCAGCAGCCGCGGUAAUACGUAGGGUGCAAGCGUUAAUCGGAAUUACUGGGCGUAAAGCGAGCGCAGGCGGUUCGGAAAGAAAGAUGUGAAAUCCCAGAGCUCAACUUUGGAACUGCAUUUUUAACUACCGGGCUAGAGUGUGUCAGAGGGAGGUGGAAUUCCGCGUGUAGCAGUGAAAUGCGUAGAUAUGCGGAGGAACACCGAUGGCGAAGGCAGCCUCCUGGGAUAACACUGACGCUCAUGCACGAAAGCGUGGGGAGCAAACAGG